This 548-nucleotide ribosomal RNA is filed under the name uncultured Glomeromycotina. RNAcentral describes it as "SSU rRNA". It matches the Rfam family "Eukaryotic small subunit ribosomal RNA", at positions 548 to 1098 of the family's 1831-position model. The record is from RNAcentral. Lineage: Eukaryota; Fungi; Glomeromycota.
UUGGAGGGCAAGUCUGGUGCCAGCAGCCGCGGUAAUUCCAGCUCCAAUAGCGUGUAUUAAAGUUGUUGCAGUUAAAAAGCUCGUAGUUGAAUUUCGGGAUCAGUACGUUGGUCGUGCCUUAGGUACGUACUGGUGUUACUGGUUCCUACCUUCUGACGAACCAUCAUGUCAUUCAUUUGGUGUGGCGGGGAAUCAGGACUGUUACUUUGAAAAAAUUAGAGUGUUUAAAGCAGGCUCGCGCUUGAAUACAUUAGCAUGGAAUAAUGAAAUAGGACGUUGAUCCUAUUUUGUUGGUUUCUAGGAUCGACGUAAUGAUUAAUAGGGAUAGUUGGGGGCAUUAGUAUUCAAUUGUCAGAGGUGAAAUUCUUGAAUUUAUUGAAGACUAACUACUGCGAAAGCAUUUGCCAAGGAUGUUUUCAUUAAUCAAGAACGAAAGUUAGGGGAUCGAAGACGAUCAGAUACCGUCGUAGUCUUAACCAUAAACUAUGCCGACUAGGGAUCGGAUGAUGUUAAUUUUUUAAUGACUCGUUCGGCGCCUUACGGGAAAC